This is a long non-coding RNA of Sinocyclocheilus rhinocerous, 590 nucleotides long. RefSeq lists it as uncharacterized. NCBI's taxonomy places the organism in Eukaryota, Metazoa, Chordata, Actinopteri, Cypriniformes, Cyprinidae. The transcript is spliced from 3 exons. The record is from RefSeq and is a predicted model, not a curated record.
ACAACUGCAACUCCACUUAGAACUACUGCCUCUUCUACAGUAACAACACAAACAACUGAACCUACAACCGUGGUUACGACAAACUCACCUACAACUGCAACUCCACUUACAACUACUGCCUCUUCUACAGAAACGACACUAAUAACUGAACCUACAACUGUGGUUACAACAAACUCAACAACAUCCAUACCUACAACAAAUACAGCCCAAUCUACAACCCUGGUUACAACAAUUGCACCUACAACAGCAACUGUACUUACAUCUACAGCCCCUCUUACAACCCCAAAAACAACAGUUCAACCUACAACCACAACACGGGCUCCAAUAAUUACAAUUCUACAAACCACUCCAGAUACAACAGUUCAACCUACAAUAACCACAGCUACAACAACCCCAAGCACAACCCAGUCAGUUCUUUUUAGUUUUUCCAGCAAUGCAAAUUUUGUGGAUGAUCUGUCAAAUCCAGAUUCAGACGCAUUUAACACCAGAAAAAACAAAGUCUCAAAUGCGUUGGAACCAUUAUUUAGAAAUAAAUUCUCCUCCUUCAUUGGACUGGACGUUAUUAAGUUCCGUCGUGGGUCAAUCAUCAC